Long non-coding RNA from Oxyura jamaicensis (ruddy duck), 693 nucleotides. RefSeq lists it as uncharacterized. The transcript is spliced from 5 exons. The record is from RefSeq and is a predicted model, not a curated record. NCBI's taxonomy places the organism in Eukaryota, Metazoa, Chordata, Aves, Anseriformes, Anatidae.
UGGACUGAGAUACAACAUUGUGGUUUUGCUUCCCAUAUAGGGAAUUGCAAUAUGUGCUAAAAAUACUGUUGAGCACAUGGAAAUACAGUGUUAUCACAUGUGGAGGGGGAGAGGGAAUGUCAGUCCUGGUAGAAGCACCCACUGAAGAGGGACAACUUAGCACUGAACAUUUUAAGGAUGAGACAUGAUCUGUUUGGAAGCAAGUCAUAAGUAAAUAAAACAUAUAAAGGAGUAACACAGCCCUGCAGAGCCAUAAGGGUGGAUCCAGAAGGUGGGACUCCAGUGAAUUCCAUGCCAAAAUGUUGACAGCAUCUGAUGCAUGCGAGAGAACAGAGACUCAGAGAAUGUAAUGCAUGCUCAGAAACGGUAAGAGCACUGAAAACCCCAGAUACUGUCCAAGAAGUGAAUAUGUGAUGAGAUUGCUUAAGCUGGCUUUCUUCAAGCAGCGAACAGGGGUUCCACACCAAAAAGGGAACAAGUCCUUACCUGGAGAUCCAGAGGAGAGCCUGCAGCAGCCUUGCUUCGGCUGAGUGUGGAUGGCACUGAGGAGGUUCUCCAAACUUCUGGAGCAGGGUCUGGUUUUGUGAGCCUGCAGCAAUUAAUGCGCAAUAGCAUUUGCCACGUGAGGAAAACAUACAGCACCGCUCCUUUCACAACUGUUUCACUUGUAAAAAUAAAAGUAAGAUUCACUAA